RNAcentral lists this ribosomal RNA (273 nucleotides) under uncultured bacterium. RNAcentral's name for it is "partial 16S ribosomal RNA". It matches the Rfam family "Archaeal small subunit ribosomal RNA", at positions 474 to 747 of the family's 1478-position model. The record is from RNAcentral.
UACCAGCACCCCGAGUGGUCGGGACGAUUAUUGGGCCUAAAGCAUCCGUAGCCGGUUCUGCAAGUCUUCCGUUAAAUCCAACUGCUUAACAGUUGGGCUGCGGAGGAUACUAUAGAGCUAGGAGGCGGGAGGGGCAAGCGGUACUUAGUGGGUAGGGGUAAAAUCCGUUGAUCCACUGAAGACCACCAGUGGCGAAGGCGGCUUGCCAGAACGCGCUCGACGGUGAGGGAUGAAAGCUGGGGGAGCAAACCGGAUUAGAAACCCUCGUAGUCC